UUAAAGAGGCUACUUCAGCUCGACUGGCUGCCCUGCUGCAUGCAAAGCUCCACUGUGUAUCUGUGCUAGUCUAUCGCACACGUAAAGAACGGCCAACGAAUUUGCGCCAGCAAGUAAACCAAGCAGACACCUGGAUUUUGCCGCACAUUGAUAGCGGUGUGCAUGCGAAUAAAAUGUUUUCUUCGCUUCAUUUGGAGCUGUUAAUUGACGGAUAAUCGAAGUGCCAGCAGGACUGUUGAUACUGGAGCACAUCGGUACUUCUUUGAAGGACAGUCGCCGUAUUUCUGAGCAGCAAAGUCAGAUGAUGGCUUAAGCGGAGAGGAGUGGGACAGGAGAAGGAUCUGAACUGCGCUGGGAUUGGAACUUCAGUGCGGAAGAAGUCCAUUGUCUCUGUCCUCUUGUCUGCGUGUCUGGGACAAUGAAGAUGACGGUCAGCAUGAACUUGUCCUUCAAAUUGUGCGCAUCGCCAACAUGGAGCUGAAGACUGAGAGUGCCAUUCGCUUUUGAUGAGAGAAGAAGUGGGGCAUCCGGAGCCCGGCAGAUGGAUAGCCCAAGACCAACUCCCUGUGUAGAUCUGCUGUUGUGGAAUUACUUGAAGUAGUAAAAACAAGAAGUCAGUGCCGCCCGCCCCCUGGCCCCCUCGCCCGCCUGUGCCGUGCGGAGGGAAGAACGUUGUUGUCAUCUUGUCCUCUCCCAUCAUGGCUUCCACGUGUGCUGGGGCUCCCCUGGUGCCGAUCUGGAGACGCCUGCCCCCCGUCUGAGGAGGACGCCCGCUCGAGGGACACGACACACAGCGCCGCGGUGGUGCGAGUAACAGACCGUUCCCCCACUCCCAUCCCCGUUCCCAUUCCCAUCCCCAUCCCCAGCCCAGCCCAGCUCCAGGGCCAGCCCAGCCCCAGCCCAGCCCAGCCCCAGGCCCAGGACAGACCAGAUCAGCCCAGCCCAACGUCCCCCUCAGAGGCAUGGCUGUGUUAUGGUGCAGCAGUGGACUGACCAGAUACCUG
Long non-coding RNA from Engraulis encrasicolus (European anchovy), 1004 nucleotides. RefSeq lists it as uncharacterized. The transcript is spliced from 3 exons. The record is from RefSeq and is a predicted model, not a curated record. NCBI's taxonomy places the organism in Eukaryota, Metazoa, Chordata, Actinopteri, Clupeiformes, Engraulidae.